This 528-nucleotide ribosomal RNA is filed under the name Triticum aestivum (bread wheat). RNAcentral's name for it is "partial small subunit ribosomal RNA". Lineage: Eukaryota; Viridiplantae; Streptophyta; Magnoliopsida; Poales; Poaceae. The record is from RNAcentral.
AUGCUUACAGUGCAGCUCUCAUGCUCGUGGUUUUUGAAAUGGGGCAAAGAUGAUUCAGAUUCUAGUAAUCAUGAUAGGCUCCUUCACAGCAAGCAGCAAUUGGGUGUUCUGAGUACAGCAUUUCCAAGUAAUGUCUAUCUUCAGUUCGUGCAAUUUUGGCUGUUAUUGUCUUUUGCUACAGCUGGUAUCACGAUGCAAUGGCAAUGGGACAAGCAUCAGUCGCGGGACAAAAAUUCACAACAUAUUUUUAUGUUGCCUCGUCCCCCUUCUGAACCAAUAUCAUGCGAGGUUAAUCAUGGCUGGUAUUUCGGCACUCUCAAACUAUUUGCGAUUCAGGCUAUACAAUUUGCAACAAAGAUUCAUUAUUCGGAUUCCAGUCUAUUUGGUAGUGUAUCAUCUCCCUUUGGGCAUAAACAAAGGUUUCCCUGGACUCCGGAUACUUCAGCUAGCGGCGAUCACCUUGAGCAAUUGUGGGAUCCUAGAGGCCUUGCGAGCUAUAUAUGCAGUACAUGUGCAUUGACUCCCUGA